This 352-nucleotide long non-coding RNA is filed under the name Brassica rapa (field mustard). Its description in RNAcentral is "long non-coding RNA (BRAP_LNC004901)". Lineage: Eukaryota; Viridiplantae; Streptophyta; Magnoliopsida; Brassicales; Brassicaceae. The record is from RNAcentral.
CUCCACCACCGGUCCAUUCACCACCACCACCCGUCUAUUCUCCACCACCACCGGUCUAUUCUCCUCCACCACCGGUCCAUUCACCACCACCUCCUGUGCAUUCACCACCACCACCUCCUGUGCAUUCACCACCACCACCGGUGCAUUCACCACCACCACCACCACCUGUCCAUUCUCCACCACCACCUGUCCAUUCUCCACCACCACCAGUCCAGUCUCCACCACCACCGGUCUAUUCUCCACCACCACCACAUGUCUAUUCACCACCACCGCCGGUCCAGUCUCCACCACCGCCGGUCUAUUCUCCACUACUACCGCUGGUCCAUUCACCUCCACCACUGGUCCAUAAACC